RNAcentral lists this ribosomal RNA (253 nucleotides) under uncultured bacterium. RNAcentral's name for it is "partial 16S ribosomal RNA". It matches the Rfam family "Bacterial small subunit ribosomal RNA", at positions 524 to 776 of the family's 1533-position model. The record is from RNAcentral.
UACGUAGGGUGCGAGCGUUAAUCGGAAUCACUGGGCGUAAAGCGCGUGUAGGCGGUCUGCUAAGUCUGAUGUGAAAGCCCGGGGCUCACCCCCGGAAGUGCAUUGGAAACUGGCAGACUGGAGUCCCGGAGAGGAGGGUGGAAUUCCUGGUGUAGCGGUGAAAUGCGUAGAUAUCAGGAGGAACACCCGUAGCGAAGGCGGCACUCUGGGCCGAUACUGACGCUGAGGAGCGAAAGCCAGGGGAGCAAACGGG